UAGUAACGUGGGCUUAUAACUAAGCAGGGCAUUAAAGUGAUUGGUUGCUUCGAUGAAGCCUCACCAGGUGAGGUUAUGGUGGUCUUGGUUUGUUCACCUUGGGUGAAAUCACACUAAGUGCGCCCGUAGGGUUCCCCAUCCACCAUGGUUGGGUAGCUAAUAAAAACUUGCUUUAGAUUGGGGUUAUGGGUUGUAACCCAAGCCCUGCAGACCAAGAUACACGUACCCUCAGCGUGCUGUCUGGUGUUUGGCAUCUCACUACACAUUCACUUUUUGUAACCCCCAUCAAGCCAUAUAUACCAUCUACCAGUUGAAAAUUGCAAAGAUGAGUCGACUAUUUAGAUCAAACUCGUGCGUAAGUUAUAAUGGUGUGUGGCAUCUCACUACACAUUCACUUUUUGUAACCCCCAUCAAGCCAUAUAUACCAUCUACCAGUUGAAAAUUGGACGAACUGAGUUACAUCUUGACUGAUUUGUUCCUCAAGCUACCCACAUCAAAGUGACGAACAUCAGUAAUCUUGCAAAGAUGAGUCGACUGUUUAGAUCAAACUCGUGCGUAAGUUAUAAUUCUAGAGCCAGUAUUAGUAAAAAUCCUGACAUAGUAAAUGAAGAAUAAAUAGAGUAUCAAUCAAAUAAAAAUAUUGAUUAUAAUGAUUGGAAUAUACCCAAGGUUCAAGGUACUGAAAAUUACAAGAAAAAAUGGUCACUCUCUGCUUUUAAAACCAUAGCUCAUAUUAAGACAGUAGAACAAGUUUAUGCACUCGGUAAAGUACACGAGACAUAUCAGUUAUUCAACAUUGAAUCAAUUAAAAAACACAGAAAAUAUUGUCAUAAUUUCUUGCAUAUUGAUUUAGUUCAAGUUGCCGUCAAGCCCUUCACAAAAAAUGAAAACUUUUUCUGUCUUAUAAGAUUUUAGUUCUAAAACAAACAGCAUCCAAGUGAUGUAAAAAUUUUGAGCAGCUGACGAUCUGUAUGUUCUUUGUGUGUAUGUGUAUGUGUGUGUAGAUAUUGGUGCUUGAGAGAAGCAUAUGUCAAAGCCAUUGGGAGUGGAGUGGCAUAUGGUUUGGACAAAGUGGAAUUUCAUCACAGUAGCUGGACAAAUAUUUGUGUACACGUUGAUGGGAAGCUUAUGAGAGGAUGGUGAUUUUGGCUUCUCGAGCUAGGGAAGGGACAUUUGGUAAGUUCAUUGGUAAUUCUCUCUUUCUUUUCCACGAGCUUUGGCUUUUUGGUGCAUAUCGCUGUGUCAUUUUGAUCGUCAUGGUUACAUAGUUAUUUUAUUGGUUAUCUAUAACAUCCACGCACUUGGUGCGAUGGCAAGUGCCUUCGCCCAUGAGCGGUAGGUCUCGGGUUCGAGACUUGGAAGCAGCCUUUCCAUAAAUUGGGGUAAGGCUAGCCGACAUUCACCUCUCCCAGACCCUGUGUAAAGCGGGAGCCUUGUGCACUGGGUACGACCGAUCUAUAACAUCCACAUUUAGUAAAAGUAACGUUGGUGCGUAGGUAAAUUGGAAUAUUUCACGACGUUAUGUGUUGAAUGAUAACAUCCAUAUGGAGGGAUAUUUGUUGUAACAAAAAUAUCAAGAAAAGGAGGAAACUUGGAGACUCGAGAACAUUAACGAUUAAAGGCUGAAACAUUGAAGACAUGUUCUGAAUUCUAACCUUGGCAGUAGUUGCAGUAGUUUCAUUUAGGUUAGGUUAAGUUAAGAGAAAGAUUAACCUAGGAUAAGUCGCUCUUUAACGUCUUAUGUAAUGGUUUUCCGUGAAAUCGCAGGUCUCCAUUGCUAGGGGUCAUAUCCAAGAUCAGCUACUGAGAGUUACGAGUUCGACGAGAAGGAAUAUCAUACAGUUCUUCAUCUUCCAAAUAUCGAAUUUGUCUCGAGAAUGGUAGAACAACUCAUUACAGUUUUACACAAAGCUAGGGACAAUUGAAGCACCGAUGACGAGGAGGAUAAAGCAUUCUCAUCACGGUUUAGUGUUUACAGCAAAAUCAAACUCACCGUAUUAUCGGUACUUCUUUGUUCCUUGAGUCCCAAGGCUUCUGGUCGAAGUGAAUAUGUAGGAGUCGUAUUAUAUUGGAAUCUGGAGAUUACUGACAUGCUUUUCAAUGGUUUAAACAUUGUAGAUAACACCUUCUGCUCAUAUUCCUUAUUUUCAAAGGGCUACUUGUUACAAAAAUGGAGAAAACCAAAUUAAAACAAACGUAAAGGAAAUAAUGGAUACCAAGGAAUUUACGUGGCUACGUUCAUGGGAAAGCGGUAUAAGCUUCUUUUCUUAUGUCGAAUAACGUUACAACGAGAGUAUACUUAAUCUCUAAGGCUACAGUGUCUCGCCAAGAGACGCUUGGUAAGUGGGAAGCUAGUUAUUAAUUAAUAAUUACUAACUCCCACAUCGGACAAAAAUCAAAUAUUAAAUAUGUUUAAAAGGAUUUACACAAUGCUAUGAUACUGCCGAGCCUAGUAGCGUGAGCUUGUAACUGAGCAAGACAUUAAAGUGUUUGUUUGCCUCGAUGAAGCCUAACCAAGUGAGACUAUGGUGGUCUUGGUCUAUUCACCCUUACGUGAAAUCACACAAACAAAGUGCGUCCUUAAGCCGCGUACCAUGAUAUACGUACCCUCAGCGUGCUAUCUGGUGUGACAUCUCAUUACACAUUCACUUUUUAUAACCCACAUCAAAGUGAUUAAUGUCAUGCAAUCUUUCUACGUCGUCCUGAAUUCACCCCGAUGGUGUAAAGUGUCUCUUGGAAUAAAAAUUAAAAACAAAUCAUGCAAUAUUUCAACUAGUCCUAUACCAUCUACUAGUUGAAAAUCUUAGUGAUGAAUAUCGUGCAACCUUUCUACAUCGUCCUAACUUCACCCCCAUAGUAAAAUGUGUUGUAAUAAAAAUUUUAAAAAAAAAUCAUGCAUUAUUUUAAUUGGUCAUAUACUAUCUACCAGUUGAAAAUCAAAUUACCAAAUGGACAAACUAACAAAUUAAGUAUGAAACUACGAAUAAUAUUAAUUGGAAAACAAUAAACAAGACUGCUGCCAAGACGACUACAUCUUGAUUGACUUGUAAUAUAAAAAAAAUCAUGCAAUAUUUCAGCCAGUCAUAUAUCAUCUACUAGUUGAAAAUCAGAGUACUAAACGGACGAACAAAGUAUGAAACUACGAAUACUAUUAACAGAAAAGCAAUAAACAAGAAUACCAAGACGGCUACAAACUAUAAAGACACUCAUAUCUAUAGAGAAGAGAAUGUCUCAGCUGAUCACAUGGCUGACUUAGGUUAUGGCUUCCAUUGGUCAUCAUGUUUUGGUUUCUCCUCCUAUCACUGCUACUAAUUUUUUGCAGUUUCUGAUAUUAUUGGCAAUGUCAUUCAUAGGGUUGUCCUUGCCUAGGUUUUUGUUGUUUUGCUUGCGCUUUGCCCUCCUCUAUACCAAUAAAAAAAAUUGUUUAAAUUCUAAAUUUCUAAUGAGGUUAAUUUCUACUUUAUUACCUUCAAGUUCGCAAAAUCGUAUUUUACUACACUUAUUUUCCGUCUCACUUCCAUACUUUUAAGUUCAAUUUUGCGCUAUUUUAAUACUUCUAUUAAUUUUUAUGUCAACUCAUUCGUUAAUUGAUGAUCUUACAUUACUCAUUGCUCUAGCCCACCAAAUUUCAGACACCUAGAGUUUCAACUUAAAAUAAAUAGGAGUAAUUAGGUUUUCAUCCUUAUUUUUACUACUCUAUUGAUUAAAACCUUAUUACUUUUCAAUUUUUGAUCAAGGUCCUUUGUAUUAAUAAUAUAAUUAAUUAUUUCAAUAAUAAAAUAUUUUUUAUUUCUAAAUAUAUUCAUUUAAUAUUAAAAAUGUUACAAUUAGUAUAUUUAUAUUUAUGGCUAAAUUUUUUAUCAUAUAUUUUUAUUUUUAGUUUGUACCCAUUUUUAAUUUGCAACCCUUUUUUAAUUUGUACCAAUUUUCCUUUCAGUUUUUAAUUUGUACCCAUAUAUUAAUUUCUUUUUGUGCCCAUAUUUUUUAAAGUUUUAUUUGUAUUGUACCCAUAUUUUUUUUAUUUUUUGUACCCAUUUUUUUUUUGCUAAAUGUACCAAUUUUGAAGAAUGUACCCAUGUUUUGAUACAAUAAUUUUUUGGUUAUUUUUUAUGAAUGUACCCAUGUUUACACACACACACACACAAUAGUAUAUUUAUAUUUUAAUAUUUUUAAUCCCACAAAUUAUGGUUUUUUAUUUAAAAUCUCAUUACUAUAAACAACUAUAAAUUUUAAUUUUUAAUUAAAAAAAUAUAGUAACGUACAUAGAAAUAAAUUAUCAAUUAAUUUCAGGGACUUGGAUCAAAAAUUGAAAACCAACAAGGUUUCAGUCAAAGACUAUUCAUAACUAGGGACCGCAUCCAAAGUCUCCCAAAUAAAUAUUACAAAGUAAUUAAUUAAGAAAAAUUUGAAGAAAAAAAAAAAAAAAAAAGGCCUCUCAUUCUCUUCCCCUCUCUCUUCAACUCCCACUAUGCGACUGACUUCUCCCUCCUCUGUUUCUUCUCCAGAAUCCACCGCCACCGAUGAAGAGGAGGAUAAAGCAUUCUCAUCACUAUUUACAGAAAUCAAACUCUCCGUAUUAUCGGUACUUUUUUGUUCCUUGAGUCCCAAGGCUUCUGGUCGAAGUAAAUAUGUAGGAGUCGUGCAAGGUGUGUAAAGGAUACUGGAAUCUGGAUAUUACUGACAUGCUUUUCAAUGGUUUAAACAUUGUAAUUUGUAGAUAUAACACCUUCUGCUCAAAUUCCCUCAUUCUCAAGGGGCUACUCGUCACAAAAAUGGAGAAAACCAAAUAAGAUAAACGUAAAGGAAAUAAUGGAUACCAAGGAGUUUACGUGGCUGCGUUCAUGGGAAAGCGGUAUAAGCUUCUUUUCUUACGUCGAAUAAGGGUACAACGAGAGAAUACUUAAUCUCUAAGGCUACUGUCUCACCUGGAAAUUAAUAUGAGAAGAGCUUUCUAUUCAUCACUCUCUGUUGGAUUUUGAAUUUCACAGUUGGUAAGUUGAAAGCUAGUUAUUAAAUAUAUAAUGGCUAAAGUCCCACAUCGGACAGAGAUCAAAUAUUAAAUAUAUUUAAAAGGGUUUACACAAUGAUAUGAUAUUGCCGAGCCUAGUAGCGUGGGUUUGUAACUAAGCAAGGCAUUAAAGUGAUUGGUUGUAUCGGUGAUGCCUAACCAGGUGAGGUUAUGGUGGUCUUAGUCUGUUCACCUUAGGUGAAAUCAUACAAUGUGCACCCUUAAGCCCUCGGGUUAGUAGGGUUUCCCAUCCACCAUGGUUGGGUAGCUAAUAAAAACUUGCUUUAGAUUGGGGUUAUGGGUUCCAACCCAAGCCCCGCAGACCAAGAUAUGCCUACCCUCAGCGUGCUGCCUGGUGUAUGGCAUCCAACUACACAUUCACUUUUUGGGACAAGUGUGGAAUCUCCUCCGUAUAUAUAUUGCAAUUUUUCAGCCAUCCACAUACCAUCUUUCAUUUUUUAUUUUAUUUUUAUCGAUGAAAGAGUCGGGAUUAGAAUUUAAAACCUCUUUCCAACUUUGAUGUUGUGUUUCGAUGAGUGGUUACCAAGUAUCAAGAAGGUGAGUGGUAAAGCAACGGCACAAUAGUUAAGAGAUUCCACUCCUCAUAACCUAGAAGACAUUCAAUGCUAUAACAUCAUUGAGCCUAGUAACGUGAGCUUGUAACUAAGCAAGGCAUUAAAGAGCUUGGUUGCCUUGAUGAAACCUAACUAGGUGAGUUUAUGACGGUCUUGUUCUGUUCAUCCUUGGGUGAAAUCACACAUAAUGCGCCCUUAAGCCCUCAGGUUAGUGGGGUCCCCCAUCCACCAUGGUUGGGUAGCUAAUAAAAACUUGCUUUAGAUUGGGAUUAUGGGUUGUAACCCAAGCCCAGCAGAGCAAAGAUAUGCAUACCCUCAACGUGCUAUCUGGUGUGUGGCAUCUCACUACACAUUCACUUUUUGUAACCCACAUCAAAGUGAUGUAUAUCAUUCAAUCUUUCUUCGUCGUCCUGAGUUCACCCCUAUGGUGUAAAUUGUCUCUUGCAAUAAGAAAUUAAAAAAUAUCAUGCAAUAUAAUUUUCAACUAGACAUAUACCAUCUACCAGUGGAAAAUCAAAGUGAUGAAUAUCAUGCAACUAUGUCGUCCUCACUUCACCCCCAUAGUGUAAAAUGUCUCUUGUAAUAAAAAAUUUAAAAAAAUCAUGCAAUAUUUUAACUAGUCAUAUACCAUAUACCAGUUGAAAAUCAGAUUACCAAACGAGCAGAUUAACAAAUUAAGUAUGAAACUAUGAAUAAUAUUAACUGGAAAACAAUAAACAAGAAUGCCGAGACGACUACAUACUGAGGACUACAUCUUGAUUGACUUGUAAUAAAAAAAAAUAAAGCAAUAUUUGGCCAGUCAUAUACCAUCUACCAGUUGAAAAUCAAAGUACUAAACGGAUGAACAAAGUAUGAAACUACGAAUACUCUUAACAGAAAACAAUAAACAAGAAUGCCAAGAUGACUACAAAGUAUGAAGACACUCCUAUCUAUAGAGAACACAUGGCUGACCUGGGUUAUGGCUUCCCUUGGUCAUCAUGUUUUUGUUUCUCCUCCUGUCAUUGAUACUAAUUUUUUGCAGUUUUUGAUAUUAUAGGCAAUGUCCUUCAUAGGGUCGUCCUUGCCUAGGUUUUUCUUGUUUUGCUUGCUGUGGGCUUUUGCCCUCCUCUGUACUAAAAAAAAAACUUGUUUAAAUUCUAAAGUUCUAAUGAGGAUAAUUUCUAUUUUAUUACUCUUAAGUUCGCAAAAUCUCAUUUUACUCCACUUAUUUAUUUUUUGACCCACUUCCAUACCUUAAGUUUAAAUUUUCUUCUACUUUAAUACUUCUGUUAAUUUUGCUAUCAACUCAUUCGUUAACUGGUGACUUGACAUUACUUAUUGCUCUAGCCCACCAAAUUUCUGACACUUGGAGUUUGAACUUAAAUACAUAUUACAAAUUAAUUAAGAAAAAUUUGAAAUAAAAAAGGAAGGGAAUUAAAAAAAGGUCUCACUCUCUUCCCUUCUCUCUUCAACUCCCACUAUGCGACUUCUCCCUCCUCGGUCUCUUCUCCAUAAUCCACCGCCACCGAUGAAGAGGAGGAUACAGCAUUCUCAUCACUAUUUACAGAAAAAAAAAAAAAUCAAACUCACCGUACUAUCGGUACUUUUUUGUUCCUUGAGUCCCAAGGCUUCUGGUCGAAGUAAAUAUGUAGGAGUCGUGCAAGGUGUGUGAAGGAUAUUGGAAUCUGGAGAUUACUGACAUGCUUUUCAAUGGUUUAAACAUUUUAAUUUGUAGAUAUAACACCUUCUGCUCAAAUUCCUUCAUUUUCAAAGGGCUACUCGUCACAAAAAUGGAGAAAACCAAAUAAGAUAAACGUAAAGGAAAUAAUGCGUACCAAGGAAUUUACGUGGCUACGUUCAUGGGAAAGCGGUAUAAGCUUCUUUUCUUAUAUCUCACCUGGAAAUUAAUAUGAGAAGAGCUUUCUAUUCAUCACUCUCUGUUGGAUUUUGAAUUUCACAGUUGGUAAGUUGGAAGCUAGUUAUUAAGUAGAUAAUUGCUAAAGUCCCACAUCGGACAGAGAUCAAAUAUUAAAUAUGUUUAAAAGGGUUUACACAAGGAUAUGAUAUUGCCGAGUCUAGUAGCGUGGACUUGUAACUAAGCAGGGCAUUAAAGUGAUUGGUUGUAUCAGUGAUGCCUAACCAGGUGAGGUUAUGGUGGUCUUAGUCUGUUCACUUUGGGUGAAAUCACACAACGUGCGCCCUUAAGCCCUCGGGUUAGUAGGAUUUCCCAUCCACCAUAGUUGGGUAGCUAAUAAAAAAUCAAUCUUUAGAUUGGGGUUAUGGGUCCUAACCCAAGCCCCGCAGACCAAGAUAUGCCUACCCUUAGCGUGCUGCCUGGUGUAUGGCAUCCAACUACACAUUCACUUUUUGGGAGAGGGGAAAGAGGUAUAGAAUCUUUAACCAACCAGCAUCAACAAAGUGAUAUUAUGCAACUAAGAAGUGGGAACUGGAUCCUCCUGAGCAGAACGUCCACACCGUAAAAGGUAACCUUGGAGUGUAAAUAUACGUAUGUAACAUUUUUUUACAAAAUGAGCACAAGUGUAGAAUCUCCUCCAUAUAUAUAUUGCAAUUUUUCAGCCAUCCACAUACCAUCUUUCAUUUUUUUUUUUUUUUUAUCGAUGAAAGAGUCGGGAUUAGAAUUUAAAACCUCUUUCCAACUUUGAUGUUGUGUUUAGAUGAGUGGUUACCAAGUAUCAAGAAAGUGAGUGGUAAAGCAACGGCACAAUAGUUGGGGGAUUCCACUCCUCAUAACCUGGAAGACAUUCAAUGAAACAAACGAAAGCCUAAUAUUAUGAUCAUCUGGAAAACACUUGCGCUGGAGGCAGCAAACUUGCAACGCAUAUUUACCAUUGGAGCAAGGUUCAA
Molecule: long non-coding RNA, 8427 nt
Filed under: Malus domestica (apple)
Lineage: Eukaryota; Viridiplantae; Streptophyta; Magnoliopsida; Rosales; Rosaceae
Description: long non-coding RNA (MDOM_LNC006544)
Source: RNAcentral